This 503-nucleotide unclassified non-coding RNA is filed under the name Penicillium citrinum. RNAcentral describes it as "partial contains ITS1, 5.8S rRNA and ITS2". The stretch from base 173 to 326 matches the Rfam family "5.8S ribosomal RNA". Lineage: Eukaryota; Fungi; Ascomycota; Eurotiomycetes; Eurotiales; Aspergillaceae. The record is from RNAcentral.
CUUCCGUAGGUGAACCUGCGGAAGGAUCAUUACCGAGUGCGGGCCCCUCGGGGCCCAACCUCCCACCCGUGUUGCCCGAACCUAUGUUGCCUCGGCGGGCCCCGCGCCCGCCGACGGCCCCCCUGAACGCUGUCUGAAGUUGCAGUCUGAGACCUAUAACGAAAUUAGUUAAAACUUUCAACAACGGAUCUCUUGGUUCCGGCAUCGAUGAAGAACGCAGCGAAAUGCGAUAACUAAUGUGAAUUGCAGAAUUCAGUGAAUCAUCGAGUCUUUGAACGCACAUUGCGCCCUCUGGUAUUCCGGAGGGCAUGCCUGUCCGAGCGUCAUUGCUGCCCUCAAGCCCGGCUUGUGUGUUGGGCCCCGUCCCCCCCGCCGGGGGGACGGGCCCGAAAGGCAGCGGCGGCACCGCGUCCGGUCCUCGAGCGUAUGGGGCUUCGUCACCCGCUCUAGUAGGCCCGGCCGGCGCCAGCCGACCCCCAACCUUUAAUUAUCUCAGGUGACCU